UUUCUGCGUCAUCAUUCAAGUGAUUGGUUGCUCUUUUUCUCCUGCCGAGAAAGAGCGUUUGCCCUCCAGUUGGGGAAGCGAAAUUUUGAAACAGCAACUGGAAUUAUUGUCGAGGAAUUAUAUUAUUUAGGUGCGUCAUCUCGAUUUUUUUCAAUAUUUUUAUUCCCAUCGAUCGAUGUAGUAUUUUUUGAUUUUUUAACGGAUUCCGUCGUCAGAUCAAUAGAAUUUUUAUGAAAUUUAUCAACUCUUUGAUAAUUUAAUUGAAUCAAAGAAGGAGGAGAAGGAGGAGGAGGAGGUCGAGUGAUAAUUUCACUUUCAUUGCGUGGCGAAUGAAAAAAUCUAUCUAAUUGAAUCGAUGUUCUAUACACUUUUUCACUAUUUGAAAAUUGCGUUUUUACACACAAGAAACUAUAAUGAACUUUAGUUUAAAACUAACACACUUUGAAAAAUUACAAAGAACAGUUCAGAGACCAUAACUGAGCUAUUAUUUCAAGUAGAGAGAAGAGACAUGAG
This is a long non-coding RNA of Leptopilina heterotoma, 513 nucleotides long. RefSeq lists it as uncharacterized. The record is from RefSeq and is a predicted model, not a curated record. Lineage: Eukaryota; Metazoa; Arthropoda; Insecta; Hymenoptera; Figitidae. The transcript is spliced from 4 exons.